UGGGGAAUAUUGCACAAUGGGCGCAAGCCUGAUGCAGCCAUGCCGCGUGUGUGAAGAAGGCCUUCGGGUUGUAAAGCACUUUCAGCGAGGAGGAAGGUGGUGAGCUUAAUACGCUUAUCAAUUGACGUUACUCGCAGAAGAAGCACCGGCUAACUCCGUGCCAGCAGCCGCGGUAAUACGGAGGGUGCAAGCGUUAAUCGGAAUUACUGGGCGUAAAGCGCACGCAGGCGGUUUGUUAAGUCAGAUGUGAAAUCCCCGGGCUCAACCUGGGAACUGCAUUUGAAACUGGCAAGCUAGAGUCUCGUAGAGGGGGGUAGAAUUCCAGGUGUAGCGGUGAAAUGCGUAGAGAUCUGGAGGAAUAACGGUGGCGAAGGCGGCACCCUGGACGAAGACUGACGCUCAGGUGCGAAAGCGUGGGGAGCAAACA
This 427-nucleotide ribosomal RNA is filed under the name uncultured bacterium. Its description in RNAcentral is "partial 16S ribosomal RNA". It matches the Rfam family "Bacterial small subunit ribosomal RNA", at positions 355 to 774 of the family's 1533-position model. The record is from RNAcentral.